This is a small nuclear RNA of 155 nucleotides. Its record names the gene U2. It matches the Rfam family "U2 spliceosomal RNA". Rfam says of the family: U2 is a small nuclear RNA (snRNA) component of the spliceosome (involved in pre-mRNA splicing). Complementary binding between U2 snRNA (in an area lying towards the 5' end but 3' to hairpin I) and the branchpoint sequence (BPS) of the intron results the bulging out of an unpaired adenosine, on the BPS, which initiates a nucleophilic attack at the intronic 5' splice site, thus starting the first of two transesterification reactions that mediate splicing. The record is from Ensembl.
AUCGCUUCUCGGCCUUUUGGCUAAGAUCAAGUGUAGAACUCGAGUGGAAUAAAAAUCUGAGCCUGUCUUUAUUGCAGUUUAUUUUGUGUCAUUUAUUACUAAGUGUGUGCAUAGGAAGAAGUGAAGUGCUGUGUCAGAAUGUCAGCUUACAAAGU